UCAUCUGUUAAAGAGGAGGCUGGUGUA
RNAcentral lists this non-coding RNA (27 nucleotides) under Homo sapiens (human). Lineage: Eukaryota; Metazoa; Chordata; Mammalia; Primates; Hominidae. The record is from RNAcentral.